GAUGAACGCUGGCGGCGUGCCUAACACAUGCAAGUCGAGCGAACAGACCAGGACUUUGCUCCUCUGACGUUAGCGGCGGACGGGUGAGCAACACGUGGAUAACCUACCUAUAAGACUGGUAUAACCUCGGGAAACCGGCGCUAAUACCGGACAAUAUAUUGAACCGCAUGCUUCAAUAGUGAAAAACGGUUUUGCUGUCAGUUAUAGCUGGAUCCGCGCCGCAUUAGAUGGUUGGUAAGGAAACGGCCUACCAAGGCAACGAUGCCUACCCGACCUGAUAGAGUGAUCGGCCACACUGGAGGGGAGACACGGUCCAGACUCCUACGGGAGGCAGCAGUAGGGAAUCUUACGCAAUGGGCGAGAGCCUGACGGAGCGACGCCGCGUGAGUGGUGAAGGUCUUCGGAUCGUAAAACUCUGUUAUGAGGGAAAAACAAAUGUGUAAGUAACUGUGGAGAUAUUGACGGUACCUGAUGAGAAAGCGCCGGCUAACUACGUG
This 497-nucleotide ribosomal RNA is filed under the name uncultured bacterium. RNAcentral describes it as "partial 16S ribosomal RNA". It matches the Rfam family "Bacterial small subunit ribosomal RNA", at positions 28 to 507 of the family's 1533-position model. The record is from RNAcentral.